GGGCUUGCGGCGUCGCUGGGGCGGCUACAAUGGGCGCUCUGUGUGCGGCGGCGAGGGGGCUCGGAAGGAAGGAAGGAAGGAAGGAAGGAGAAAGAGAGAGAGAUGGGUGGGAAGGAAGGAAGGAAGGAAGACUCACACCCCCACUCGAGGGCGCGCGCGCGCUUUUCCUGCUACCAGCAGCACCCCAGAAACACCUCGCCACUGCCAGAGCCCCCUGGAGGUGACCACUCUGGCGGGCCCAAGGGAGCUUUAGCCCCACACCUCCGCCAGCGCGCCUUUCACUGACAAGAAGGAAGCGGGAAUUAGCAGGGGAAAGCCCCAGAAGCAGGUAAGUGUUGCAUGCAGAGGAGCCGCAGAUGGAGCCGCAGGAAGCGGUCCUCAGUUGCAACGACCAGAACUUGUGAGAGCAAAUAAAAAAGAAAAAGAAAAAAAGAGGGGAGGGAGGGAGGAGGGGCUUGCUUUCCUUGUCCCCACCCUUAUUUCUUAGAUCGAGAAGCCUUUUCUCUUGGGGGAGGGGGAGCUUUUUGCAGCCACGCGAAGGAUCCGUUUUAAGAUCCACUGCACACCGGAAGGCGUGUGCGUGCUCUUUUCUUCCCUAGAUAUUUCGCACACCACGUAUCAAUUAAAUUUGCGCACAAACCUAUUCUCUUUCCUUCCCCCUCCCCCAACUCCUCCUGCCUUUUCUCAUUUCUCAGUAAAGCACUAUCUGUAUUCUGCUAGUGUUCAACCUGCUCCUACUUCUCCCUCUCUCUGUGUGUGUCGUUUUUCUUUAGUUAGUUCAAUUUUGACAAUAGUUUUCUGCGCAGCUGGAUUUCCGCUGGGUGCAGAUGUUGCUAAUGGCAGCUUAAGCACGGAUGGGCAGAUAACAUAUGGAAUGCAACAUGUUGCCAUAUGGUCCCUUUAGCCUUUCACCUCCAACAAUAUCAAUCAAAUAUAUUCUGGGAGGAAAUUUAAUGACUCUGAACAAGAAGAUAAAUUGCUUGGUACAAUUUAUAUUCCUUGACCUGAGACUUUAUAAGACAGUAAGCAGAUCUUGCAGGCUGUCUAGUAAGGAUGUGAACUGAGAUGCAGGAAGACUCCAAAUGCUGAAAACAUCUCUUAUUUGUCAGCUGGGAUCCUGUGAACUACCAGAUAUGUCACAUGGCCUACUCUUCCGUAGUAUAAAUUGACAGUACAAAGAAUAACUAUGUUAAAUGUAACUUUCUAUACAAUAUUAUUGCCAUCCUGUUCUGUGUAUUUCUUUCCAUGUACAGUUUUCUGGAAAGGGGAAAGAGCAGAAAGAAUAGUAGUAAAGAACAAGAGCAGGAUAUAAAGAAAUGGAAUAGAUAGCAAAUCUUUUGUGUUUUCAUUUAGAGCUACUUUUAAAGGGUGUUUUUAAAAAUAAAAAAAUACAUAUAUCUUUUGUUUAAGAAGGACAAAUAUGCUUAUCUCAUCUAAUCAUACAAAUUUAACUUUACAGAAAGGGUCUAACUGUCCUCAUAGAAGUAUAAAAAGUAUGUAAUCUAUAGACUUUAGUGAGCCAGACUUGUUCAUUAGCAAAUAUAUCUCAGCCUAUUAAGUAUGUUAAGCCUUUCCAAAACUUUUCUUGUCAGUGAUGAUAUCCGUACUCAGAGUAAACCCAUCAAAAUCAAUCGACUUAAGUAAAUUGUUGAUUGAUUCUCAUUAGUUUACUCUUACUUAUUCAGAUAUUGCCUAGUGUUUAUAGGAUAACAUUCCUUAGAAUCCUAUUGCCUUGGACAGUAUUCCUAACAUAUCUGUUUUUUGUUGCCCUUGUCUGCCACAGCUUCUAUGCACUGACGUACAAUGAGAAGAAAAAUACUAUUCAGUCUUGAAAUAAAGGUUUUGCAGAGCUCAAAGUCUGAGUUGCAUGGCUGUACUCAGUCAGGUUGUCAAGCUUGCCGGGGCAAUAUACUACCCAAAGCUGCAAUUGAUUGCAAUUUUUGUCUCUGACAGACUGUAUAAGAGAGAGAAGAAGAAUAUUUUAGGAGUAACAGCAUUUAUAAUUAUUCUUAUGUUGCUGCACAUUUCCUUCCAUUUAUAUUUUCAACGCAGACAGUUCCUGCCCCAACAUAUAGCAAUGAAAUAGUUGUUUACAUUCUUUUCCACGUGGUAAUUUAUUACAAGGAAUAGUAUAAAAGUUGUUCAACGUUGUAUUAUUUUAGACUUAGCCAAACAGGAUAUUCAUGCUUACUGCGAUACAUGUCUGCAAUCAGUAUCCAGUAUGUUUGGAGAAUCAUAGAUGCUGAAUUCUGCUGGUAUGGUCUUAAUAAGGAAGGGAAAGUCAUUUUCAUUUUCAAAGUCCGCUAUAUGACUUCAAUAGGAGAGUGGAUGAAGUUGUCCUGUUAGUUUGCAAUCAAGUGUUCUUUUGGACUAUUACAUAUUCAGGUUUGUGGGAACUGCCCCACUCAACUACAGUCACUCAAAGUCUGAUUGCAAUGCCUACAUAAUGAACUAUGCAAAUAAUUAUUUCACACCUACAGGUGUAAAAAAAUGGACGUAGUAAUGCCUGUCCUGCUAAAAAUAGCAAUAUAGAUCUGGUUUUAGAAGCACAUAAUCUGUUCACAUGAACACUUGUAUCAACAUCUUUAAACAUUAUUUCCCUAUUUGCUCCAUAAGAGUUUAAGGCCCAGUCCAUGUGUAACUACAGCCUGAUGGCUUCUUCUCCAUUGCAAAAUGCCCUCAGGAGGAAACUGUGCAGCAGAGGAGGGCUUGGAACCCCUCCCCCUCCAGCCUUCUCUAGUGAGGAUGCUUUGCAAUGGAGAAGAAGCCACUGGGCUCACAUUGCACAUGGUUGCAGUUUAAUAUGCAGUUUAGUGGAGAAACCCCUUUGGGUAAAUAUCUACAACUGAAUUGGAGCCAAAAAAGCCUUUUGAAGAGCUCUGAUGUCAUGUAUACAAACAAUGCAGGAUUAUUUGUCUCAAAAGCCCUACUUACCUUUCAUGAUCAUAGUUGUGCAGUCCUGACAUAGAUAAAGAAUUUUGUUAAUGAGAAGUUUUUCUUUAAAUAAGAAUAAGAUUGGCUUGGCUGCGGAACCAGUCAUUUAAAGGAACAGAAAACCAUUAUUGGUUGGAAGCAUCCUAACAAGCUGAAGAGGAAACUGCUCUUAGUGAAACAUCAGAAAAAAAUAGUUAUGAUUUUAAUAUGGACCUUCCAAAACAGAUCUUCAGUUGGCCCAGGAAAUUUCAUCAUUCAUGGUUUUUAUCUGCUAAACUGUCAGACAGGAAUGCUGAUGACACCAUUGCUUAUGUCUUUCAUCCUGAAGGGAAGCAGAGCAAACCAGAAAGAAUCUGAACGUUGCAUAUUGUGGAUUCUAAAUGCACAGGUUCACCCGUAAGUCUUACUCUGAUUUCAUUACAACCACAGCUGCUGUCUUCCUGAUAUAUUAAUAUUUCAGCAUUCCUGCUUUUCAUGUUGAUAUAUUAGCUAUCUUAAUAAGUGAUUGCAUUUGUGAAAGAUGCUAAUGUUGUAGUGUUCUCUGCCUCCUCCCAACAGAACAGAAUAUAUUUGCAUGUAGUUUUUACUUCUAAAGUUGUUCUAAAACAUCAUUCCACAUAUGACCUGUAAGGUUACAAGUGCUUAGGCAAUCUCUCUCCCUUAUAGAAUUAUUGGAUUUUUAGUGGGGGAAAGUUAUGGACUACGGCACAAAAUGUGAAAGUACAACAGAUGGCUGAUAUUUUUAAUUGUGUCCUGUGUUCCAGUAUUUAGAUACCAAAAUGUAGCAUUUUGCUGCAUCUAUAAAACUGUUUGCAUUUAUUUGACAUAGGCUUCUUUUUGAGCAUGGAGCCAUGAAUGUUUGUUCUCCCUCUCUUUUUUUUUCACAUCAUUACUCUGAUACUGCUUGAUUAGCUCCCUCCCCAGUCAUGAUUGGUAAUUAAAAUAGGCAUUAAAAUUAGUCACUUAGCAAUUUUGCUGUUCAAUUGGCAAUUAAAUUACUUAAUUGCAAUUAAAGUCCUAAUUUUAAUUGGCAAAAUGAUAGAUGUAGAUUUAAGAUAAUAUGUAUAAAUACUUUAAUAAGUGUCUAUAUAAGGAUUACUUAAUUACCCAACUUCAAGUUUAUGUUGUUAACUUCAGAACUUUAAAAUGAGCAAUGAAAUUUUAUAUUAUAUCUAUUCUAAAGAUGUGGUAAUUAGUAUGUGACUUAUCACUAUAAGGGCCCAGCUAUAAGUAAGUUCUAAAAUGUACAAGAAGGGCAUAGGAUAGCCUAUGUAACAAGCAUCAAGGCACAGGUAUGCCUUUUGCUUGGAAGUGCCAUUUAAUCAGUAGCGCUUACGUAUUAGUAAUUAUGUUUAGGAUGUAGGGGUUACACAAAAUCUAGUAAAUUUCUCAUUGGCAAGAGAGGUGGGAUUACUGAAACACAGAGCAUUCCUCUCCCAAAUAAUUUAUAUAAUGCAUCAAUAAUUUGAGAUAUUUUAGUAGCUGCCUUUUUGUUGGUGUUCAGCUUUGAUGUGCUACUGAGACCCAGGCACCAGAAAAAAAUGCAGUUGAGUUCUAAAAGCAAACCCUGCAAAUGCACCAUGUCCUGGAGUGUUUGGAUACAAAACAGGAUAUGGUGCUCUUCAUUUUAAGUAGUGCAGAAUUAGGAACUUGGCAGAUGCCUCAUUUUCUGCAGGGGUAAAGGGAGGGGGGUAACUUAAUGAAUUUCUCUUUUAUACAUAACUAUUAAAGACGCAGGAGCUUUUUCUGCAUUUUCAUCCAUCACACACAACUUCCUUCUGAAGACUUGCUUUUAUCAGUCUCACUUUAUGCUUCUCACAAAUAAAGCUUUAGAUAAAAUAUUGGAAAGAAAAAGCCAUCAUAAUUUGAAAAUAUAGCUUUGUCAGUAACAAGAACUAGAGUUUUUGGGUUUUGGUUGGAUUUUCUUUUUUAGAGUCAAGUAGCACCAAAUCUAACAUUCGCCAAUGGUGUUGUUAACUCUGUAUCUCAUGUAUUUCUGCUUCAUGGAAAUUCUGCUUUUUCAUAAUCUGCCCCCGGGGCGAAGCAUAAUUUGUAAUGCGGUAUUAGCAGCUAAUGCAGAUCAGGUAAUGUGUAUCAACUGUACCCCAUAAAAAUCUUUCCAUAAAGCAUAAUAGAGUGUAUUGUUUGUUUGUUUGUUUGUUUGUUUGUUUGUGUUGAAUGAUUCAAAAUAAAACAUGUAUUAC
This is a non-coding RNA of Podarcis lilfordi (Lilford's wall lizard), 5138 nucleotides long. NCBI's taxonomy places the organism in Eukaryota, Metazoa, Chordata, Lepidosauria, Squamata, Lacertidae. The record is from the annotation of a GenBank genome assembly.